GCUUGCUUCUAGAAGGUUAGCGGCGGACGGGUGAGUAACACGUGGGCAACCUGCCUGUAAGACUGGGAUAACUUCGGGAAACCGGAGCUAAUACCGGAUAAUCCUUUCCCUCUCAUGAGGGAAAGCUGAAAGACGGUUUCGGCUGUCACUUACAGAUGGGCCCGCGGCGCAUUAGCUAGUUGGUGAGGUAACGGCUCACCAAGGCGACGAUGCGUAGCCGACCUGAGAGGGUGAUCGGCCACACUGGGACUGAGACACGGCCCAGACUCCUACGGGAGGCAGCAGUAGGGAAUCUUCCGCAAUGGACGAAAGUCUGACGGAGCAACGCCGCGUGAACGAUGAAGGCCUUCGGGUCGUAAAGUUCUGUUGUUAGGGAAGAACAAGUACCGGAGUAACUGCCGGUACCUUGACGGUACCUAACCAGAAAGCCACGGCUAACUACGUGCCAGCAGCCGCGGUAAUACGUAGGUGGCAAGCGUUGUCCGGAAUUAUUGGGCGUAAAGCGCGCGCAGGCGGUCCUUUAAGUCUGAUGUGAAAGCCCACGGCUCAACCGUGGAGGGUCAUUGGAAACUGGGGGACUUGAGUGCAGAAGAGGAAAGCGGAAUUCCACGUGUAGCGGUGAAAUGCGUAGAGAUGUGGAGGAACACCAGUGGCGAAGGCGGCUUUCUGGUCUGUAACUGACGCUGAGGCGCGAAAGCGUGGGGAGCAAACAGGAUUAGAUACCCUGGUAGUCCACGCCGUAAACGAUGAGU
This 752-nucleotide ribosomal RNA is filed under the name Bacillus sp. (in: firmicutes). Its description in RNAcentral is "bacterial SSU rRNA". It matches the Rfam family "Bacterial small subunit ribosomal RNA", at positions 66 to 814 of the family's 1533-position model. Lineage: Bacteria; Bacillati; Bacillota; Bacilli; Caryophanales; Bacillaceae. The record is from RNAcentral.